GAAAACGUGUUGCCGGGGCAAAUCCCGGCACUAACCUUCUUAUCCAUAACACCUGUGCACUGUUGGAUGCUUGCAUCCACUUUUAUACUAAACAAUUUGUAACAAAUGUAGUCUUAUUAUAAUUAAUAAAACUUUUAACAACGGAUCUCUUGGCUCU
RNAcentral lists this unclassified non-coding RNA (157 nucleotides) under rhizosphere metagenome. Its description in RNAcentral is "partial ribosomal RNA internal transcribed spacer region". The record is from RNAcentral.